GCACUGCCGAGGAGUCCCACAAUAGGACGAAACGGCCGUCCAGUUC
This is a non-coding RNA of Schistosoma mansoni, 46 nucleotides long. Lineage: Eukaryota; Metazoa; Platyhelminthes; Trematoda; Strigeidida; Schistosomatidae. The record is from Rfam.